UACGACUACAUAUCAGGCAUAUCAAUAAGCGGAGGAAAAGUUCAAGGAGAUCGGUGAGGCUUAUGAAGUCCUGUCCGAUGACCAGAAGCGUCCCCGUUACGACCAGUUCGGCUUUGCCGGUGUGGAUCCCAACUAUGGCGGCGGUGCCGGUGGCUAUGGCGGCGGUUACGGCGGCUUCAGCGGCUUCGGUGAUUUCGGCGAUCUGGGAGACCUGUUCGGCUCCUUCUUCGGCGGUGGCCGCAGCAGCGGACGUGCCAGCAAUGGUCCCCGUCCCGGCGAAAGCAUCGGCGUUCGGCUGGAUCUGACCUUUGUGGAGGCAGCCUUCGGUUGUGAGAAGGAAGUUACCGUCACCCGCACCGAAAACUGCGCUGCCUGUAACGGCUCCGGCUCUGCUGACGGCAAUGUGGAAACCUGCAGCCAGUGCCGUGGCUCCGGUCAGGUUCGUACCACCCAGAGCUUCAUGGGCAUGAGUAUGCAGUCCACCAGCUGUCUGCCCCUCCUGCAGCGGCAGAGGUAAGAUCGUCCGAAAUCCCUGCAGUGUCUAGUAAGGGUAAAACCAAGGUUCGUCGGAACCAGAAGGUGAAGAUUUCCGUUCCCUGCGGCGUAAACCACGGUCAGUCUGUGCGGAUGCGUGGGCAGGGUCAUGCCGGCAGCAACGGCGGACCCAGCGGCGAUUUGCUGGCUGAGGUCAGCAUCCGUCAGCACCCGAUCUUCAGCCGUGAGGGCAAUGCCGUUCACUGCAAGGUUCCCAUUACUUUCACCCAGGCGGCACUGGGUGCAACCAUUAUGAUACCUACGCUUAGGAUGUUGACUGAUAUGUAGUCGUA
This 827-nucleotide ribosomal RNA is filed under the name uncultured Neocallimastigales. RNAcentral describes it as "partial large subunit ribosomal RNA". The record is from RNAcentral. Lineage: Eukaryota; Fungi; Neocallimastigomycota; Neocallimastigomycetes; Neocallimastigales.